GACGAACGCUGGCGGCGUGCUUAACACAUGCAAGUCGAACGGAAAGGCCCUGCUUUUGUGGGGUGCUCGAGUGGCGAACGGGUGAGUAACACGUGAGUAACCUGCCCUUGACUUUGGGAUAACUUCAGGAAACUGGGGCUAAUACCGGAUAGGAGCUCCUGCUGCAUGGUGGGGGUUGGAAAGUUUCGGCGGUUGGGGAUGGACUGGCCGCUUAUCAGCUUGGUGGUGGGGUAGGGGAUUACCAAAGCUUUGACGGGUAGCGGGCCUGAGAGGGGCACCGGACCAAUUGGGACUGAGAUACGGCACAGACUACUCCGGGAGGCAGCAGUGGGGAAUAUUGCACAAUGGGCGGAAGCCUGACGCAGCACCGCCGCGUGGGGGAUGACGGCCUUCGGGUUGUAAACCGCUUUCGCCUGUGCCGAAGCGUGAGUGACGGUACUGGGUAAAGAAGCACCGGCUAACUACGUG
This 468-nucleotide ribosomal RNA is filed under the name uncultured bacterium. Its description in RNAcentral is "partial 16S ribosomal RNA". It matches the Rfam family "Bacterial small subunit ribosomal RNA", at positions 28 to 507 of the family's 1533-position model. The record is from RNAcentral.